This is a long non-coding RNA of Hemiscyllium ocellatum (epaulette shark), 1651 nucleotides long. RefSeq lists it as uncharacterized. The transcript is spliced from 2 exons. The record is from RefSeq and is a predicted model, not a curated record. Lineage: Eukaryota; Metazoa; Chordata; Chondrichthyes; Orectolobiformes; Hemiscylliidae.
UGACACAUGGAGACAAUCCACAAUCUUUAUAAAGCAGGACGUAGAUGGUCACUACGUUAACUGUGAGGAAGGAAAACAAACCCAUUAUCCAUCAGCCUGGAGGCAAAGGGACCCGUGUGAUCGGGGACCCAGUGAGAUUUUCAAAUGUGUCCCUGUAUUCAGGGAUUUAUUAAAAUAAUUGGAGCUGGAAUAACAAAUGGGAAAGUCUGAAUUACUGACAAAAAUGUGACAUAAACCACAAGAAACCCUCCCUCCCCAAACACACCGAGACACAUCCAUAAGGACAGAUGGUUUCUAGAACAUUCCCCCACACUCGAUCACCCGAGAGAAGACACAGGUCACUCCUUCCCAGUUCCUAAUACGGAGGGUGGGAACGUUGCUGUCCUGAAGGAUUCUCUCCCAGUUUCCUGAAGACAAACGGAGUUUGGGAAUUCCUGUAUUUUGGUCUAAAUUGUGGUCGAUCCUGUGUCGUGAAGAAAUGUAAACGCAGGGAAAACGUAUUCACCCCUUUAACUGCCUGAGGGGCCUUCGGAACAGUGUCUCCUUCUCCCUGGAACGGGAUCUCUUCCCUCGGGAUCUUAUCGUUUGUUCAAUUCACUGACGUCCGGCCGUUCACAAACAAACAACGUCAGGGACAGAACGUUCCGGGGAAUGGCAGUUAUGGAAUGUCGGGGACAGAACGUUCCGGGGAAUGUCAGUUAUAGAAUGUUGCGGACAGAACUUUCCGGGGGACAUAAAAACAUAUCUUCAAAUCGACCGAGACCAUUUUCUGCUCAGGAUAUGGCUCUGUGUAUGACAGCAGCAAUGAUGUACCGACAUGGAACAGGGAAUGUGAUGGAGACAUAGUUUGGACAAUGUACAAGGAGACCUCACAUUGUCCACUUUGGGAGAGGAUGGCAUUACUGUCUGAUUCAACUCAGAGAGGGAGAAAGUGUCAUCUGCCCGAGAAGGAACGGCCGAUUGAACUCUCCCUCCUUCAUUGUUCCUCAUCACAGCAAUGUGUGCAAGCUAAAAAAAAAAUCUCUACAGUCAUCAUUACCAUUCUUAUUUUUAUGGAAUCCCUGCAGUGUUGAAACAGUCCCUUCAGCCCAACAAGUCCAUACCAACCUUCCCAACCCAUUCCCCUAUAUUUACCCUUGACUAAUGCACCCAACCUAGAAAUUCCUGAACACUACAGGCAAUUUAGCAUGACCAAUCCACCUAAUUGAACUGUGGUAGAAAACUACAUCACCCAUUUAGAAGCUCACACAGAAAGGUGGAGAAUGUGCAAACUCCACACAGUCAGUCACCCAAGGCUGGAAUUGACCCCAAGUCCCUGGUGCUGUGAGGCAGCAGUGCUAACCACCGUGCUACCCUUUGGGUGAUCCCUGACAAGAAUUCAUUGGAAUCUACUCACUGCUUAAAGCAAAGGGAAUUCAGCCAAAUCCAACUCUCCUAGGAUGAAAUCCCAUUGCUAGCAGCUGUGUGAGUACAAUAUCUUCAGAAGCAGAAUAAUGUUUUGGACAAUCUCACAAUGUUUCCUUUUGUCAUGAGUUCCAAUAAUAUCUGGACAAAGUUAUUUUAAGUUAAAAUUGCAGAGAUUUUGAGUGUGUGUGUGUGUAUGUGUGUGUUUACAAAGGGAAAUAUUGAUUAUAUAUUUGAAAUAUCCAAA